GCCAGGUGCAGUGGCGCACACCUGUAAUCCCAGCAGUUUGGGAGGCUGAGACAGGAGAAUCGAGAAUCCAAAGCCAGCCUUUAGCAACUGUGAGGCUCUAAGCAACUCAGUGAGACCCUGUCUCCA
Molecule: small RNA, 126 nt
Filed under: Marmota monax (woodchuck)
Lineage: Eukaryota; Metazoa; Chordata; Mammalia; Rodentia; Sciuridae
Source: RNAcentral